This 88-nucleotide microRNA precursor is filed under the name Mus caroli (Ryukyu mouse). Its description in RNAcentral is "miRNA (MGP_CAROLIEiJ_G0007741.1)". Lineage: Eukaryota; Metazoa; Chordata; Mammalia; Rodentia; Muridae. The record is from RNAcentral.
GCCAUCGGCAUCUGGCACUGUGGUUCCUGCAUGAACCUGCGGGGCCUGGACCUACAACACCACCUCUGCAAUCACAGUGAAGUCGGCC